RNAcentral lists this ribosomal RNA (374 nucleotides) under uncultured organism. Its description in RNAcentral is "partial 16S ribosomal RNA". It matches the Rfam family "Bacterial small subunit ribosomal RNA", at positions 527 to 896 of the family's 1533-position model. The record is from RNAcentral.
GUAGGUGGCAAGCGUUGUCCGGAAUUAUUGGGCGUAAAGCGCGCGCAGGCGGUUCUUUAAGUCUGAUGUGAAAGCCCACGGCUCAACCGUGGAGGGUCAUUGGAAACUGGAGAACUUGAGUACAGAAGAGGAAAGCGGAAUUCCACGUGUAGCGGUGAAAUGCGUAGAGAUGUGGAGGAACACCAGUGGCGAAGGCGGCUUUCUGGUCUGUAACUGACGCUGAGGCGCGAAAGCGUGGGGAGCAAACAGGGAUUAGAUACCCUGGUAGUCCACGCCGUAAACGAUGAGUGCUAAGUGUUAGGGGGUUUACCGCCCCCUUAGUGCUGCAGCUAACGCAUUAAGCACUCCGCCUGGGGAGUACGGCCGCAAGGCUG